RNAcentral lists this ribosomal RNA (253 nucleotides) under uncultured bacterium. Its description in RNAcentral is "partial 16S ribosomal RNA". It matches the Rfam family "Bacterial small subunit ribosomal RNA", at positions 524 to 776 of the family's 1533-position model. The record is from RNAcentral.
UACAGAGGGGGCAAGCGUUGUUCGGAAUUACUGGGCGUAAAGGGCGCGUAGGCGGCCCGCUAAGUCGAACGUGAAAUCCCCGAGCUCAACUCGGGAACUGCGUCCGAUACUGGUGGGCCUGAAUCCGGGAGAGGGAUGCGGAAUUCCAGGUGUAGCGGUGAAAUGCGUAGAUAUCUGGAGGAACACCGGUGGCGAAGGCGGCAUCCUGGACCGGCAUUGACGCUGAGGCGCGAAAGCUAGGGUAGCAAACGGG